This 301-nucleotide ribosomal RNA is filed under the name uncultured bacterium. Its description in RNAcentral is "partial 16S ribosomal RNA". It matches the Rfam family "Bacterial small subunit ribosomal RNA", at positions 509 to 807 of the family's 1533-position model. The record is from RNAcentral.
CAGUAGCCGCGGUAAUACGUAGGUGGCAAGCGUUGUCCGGAUUUACUGGGCGUAAAGCGAACGCAGGCGGACUGUUAAGUAGGAAGUGAAAGGUCGGAGCUCAACUCCAACAUUGCUUCCUAUACUGGCAGUCUUGAGUAGCGGAGAGGAAGGGGGAACGACACGUGUAGCGGUGAAAUGCGUUGAUAUGUGUCGGAACACCCAUGGCGAAAGCACCCUUCUGGACGCAAACUGACGCUCAGGUUCGAAAGCCAAGGUAGCGAACAGGAUUAGAUACCCGCGUAGUCCCUGUCUCUUAUAC